GAGACUGCAUGUCACGCAGCCGGAGUAAUACAUAGGUCCCAAGAGUUGUUCGGAGUCACCGGGGGUAAAGGGUGCGUAGGCGGUCGGGUAAGUCUGACGUGAAAUCUCCAAGCUCAACCUGGAAACUGCGUUGGAUACUAUCCGGCUCGAGUAAUGGAGGGGAGACUGGAAUACUAGGUGUAGCAGUGAAAUGCGUAGAUAUCAAGUGGAACACCAGUGGCGAAGGCGAGUCUCUAGACAUUUCCUGACGCUGAGGCACGAAAGCCAGGGGAGCAAACGGGAUUAGAUACCCUUGUAGUC
Molecule: ribosomal RNA, 300 nt
Filed under: uncultured Methanopyrus sp.
Lineage: Archaea; Methanobacteriati; Methanobacteriota; Methanopyri; Methanopyrales; Methanopyraceae
Description: bacterial SSU rRNA
Rfam family: Bacterial small subunit ribosomal RNA
Source: RNAcentral